AACUUUCAACAACGGAUCUCUGGGUUCUGGCAUCAAUAAAAAACGCACCGAAAUGCAAUAAUUAAGGGGAAUUGCAAAAUUCAGGGAAUCAUCAAAUCUUUGAACGCACAUUGCGCCCGCUGGAAUUCCAGCGGGCAUGCCUGUUCAAGCGUCAUUU
Molecule: ribosomal RNA, 157 nt
Filed under: Cryphonectria parasitica (chestnut blight fungus)
Lineage: Eukaryota; Fungi; Ascomycota; Sordariomycetes; Diaporthales; Cryphonectriaceae
Description: 5.8S ribosomal RNA
Rfam family: 5.8S ribosomal RNA
About the family: 5.8S ribosomal RNA (5.8S rRNA) is a component of the large subunit of the eukaryotic ribosome. It is transcribed by RNA polymerase I as part of the 45S precursor that also contains 18S and 28S rRNA. Functionally, it is thought that 5.8S rRNA may be involved in ribosome translocation.
Source: RNAcentral